RNAcentral lists this microRNA precursor (76 nucleotides) under Myotis davidii. RNAcentral's name for it is "mir-9229 microRNA precursor family". It matches the Rfam family "mir-9229 microRNA precursor family". Lineage: Eukaryota; Metazoa; Chordata; Mammalia; Chiroptera; Vespertilionidae. The record is from Rfam by way of RNAcentral.
GAAACACCCCUCUGGAGAAGUACUUGCUUCAGUGGGGCUUUGGUGUUCACUGAGUCUUCCCCUUGAGUGUGUCACU